UAGAGUUUGAUCCUGGCUCAGGACGAACGCUGGCGGCGUGCCUAAUACAUGCAAGUCGAACGAAGCUUUCUUUCACCGAAUGCUUGCAUUCACCGAAAGAAGCUUAGUGGCGAACGGGUGAGUAACACGUAGGCAACCUGCCCAAAAGAGGGGGAUAACACUUGGAAACAGGUGCUAAUACCGCAUAACCAUGAACACCGCAUGAUGUUCAUGUAAAAGACGGCUUUUGCUGUCACUUUUGGAUGGGCCUGCGGCGUAUUAACUUGUUGGUGGGGUAACGGCCUACCAAGGUGAUGAUACGUAGCCGAACUGAGAGGUUGAUCGGCCACAUUGGGACUGAGACACGGCCCAAACUCCUACGGGAGGCAGCAGUAGGGAAUCUUCCACAAUGGACGAAAGUCUGAUGGAGCAACGCCGCGUGAAUGAAGAAGGCCUUCGGGUCGUAAAAUUCUGUUGUCAGAGAAGAACGUGCGUGAGAGUAACUGUUCACGUAUUGACGGUGUCUGACCAGAAAGCCACGGCUAACUACGUGCCAGCAGCCGCGGUAAUACGUAGGUGGCGAGCGUUGUCCGGAUUUAUUGGGCGUAAAGGGAACGCAGGCGGUCUUUUAAGUUUGAUGUGAAAGCAUUCGGCUUAACCGAAGUAGUGCAUUGGAAACUGGAAGACUUGAGUGCAGAAGAGGAGAGUGGAACUCCAUGUGUAGCGGUGAAAUGAGUAGAUAUAUGGAAGAACACCAGUGGCGAAAGCGGCUUUCUGGUCAGUAACUGACGCUGAGGUUCGACAGCGUGGGUAGCAAACACGAUUAGAUGCCCUGGUAGUCCACGCCGUAACAGAUGAGUGCUAAGUGUUGGAGGGUUUCCGCCCUUCAUUGCUGC
This 875-nucleotide ribosomal RNA is filed under the name uncultured bacterium. RNAcentral's name for it is "bacterial SSU rRNA". It matches the Rfam family "Bacterial small subunit ribosomal RNA", at positions 1 to 849 of the family's 1533-position model. The record is from RNAcentral.